RNAcentral lists this long non-coding RNA (1932 nucleotides) under Homo sapiens (human). Its description in RNAcentral is "non-protein coding lnc-GNG5-1:8". The record is from RNAcentral. Lineage: Eukaryota; Metazoa; Chordata; Mammalia; Primates; Hominidae.
ACUUCCGGGGUCGCAAAGUUUUUGACGCUAGAUGUGUUUUGUGAGUUUUAGCCAUUCAAGAAAAUAGUAAAGCUGAGGCUUGAGGAAACUUUAGGCAGUUUGCCCAGCUGUAUAAAGAGUGAGAUGAUGAGUUUGGGCACUCCUUGCGCAUCUAUGUGCCCAGCCCUCAAAAUAAUGGAACAACAACAAAAACCGUGCCUGGAUUAGUUUACGUUUUACUUGAGGGAAACCUAAAAUGAGCAUACAAAUAAAUUAUGGUGAGCUACAGAGUAAGACAUGGUAUGGAAAAAAAAUAGAACAGGAUAAAAGAAGAUGAAGAGACAUUCAUCUUUUUGAGACGGAGCCUUGCUUUAAUGCCCAGGCUGGAGUGCAGUGGCACGAUCUCCGAUCACUGCAAACUCCUCCUCCUGAGUAGCUGGGACUACAAACACGUGCCACCAUGCCCGGCUAAUUUUUGUAUUUUUGCAGAGAUGGAGUUUCACCAUGUUGGCCAGGCUGGUCUUGUACUCUUGAUUUCAGGUGAUCUGUCCGCCCUGGACUCCCAAAGUACGUUGCAAUUUUAAAUAGGAUUCUCAGAGUAGGCUUCAUUGAAAACGUUACAUUGAGCCAAGGUUUGAAGGAGGUAAUGGGCUAAACUAGUUAUCUGAGGGAAGAGCUGUUAAUCUGAGAAAAGCUGGUUAUCAAGGAGAAAAGCUGUCCUGGCAAAGCAAACAGCCAGCUCCAAUGCUCCUAGUCAGUAGCAAGCCAGGAAAGGCAAGAAGUGUUGAGAUUGGACAGGUGGUGUAGAGUUUUGUAAGGACUUUGGCUUUUAUUUUAUGUGAGAUGAAGAUCUCUUAUAGAAUUUUGAGGAAAAGAAUGGUAUGAUCUUAACAUCUUAAAAGUAUCAGGCUGGUGCAGUGGCCCAUGCCUGUAAUUUUAGCACUUUGGGAGGCCAAGGCAGGAGGAUUGCUUGAGCCUGGGAGUUCAAGACCAGCUUUGGCAACACUGUGAGACCCCAUGUCUACAAAAAGUAAAAAAAUAUAUAUAUCUGUUUGGGCAUGGUGUACAUCUGUGGUCCCAGCUACUCAGGAGGCUGAGGCAGUAGGAUCCAUUGAGCCUGGAAGGCUAGGUUGCAAUGAGCCAUGUUGGUGCCACUGCAUUCCAGCCUGGGUGAGAGGGUGAGACCCUCUCAAAAAAAUAAAUAAAAAUAAAGUAAAAGCGUCAUUCAGAAUCUUCUUUUGAGAAGAGCCUAUGCAGGGGCAGGGUGUGUGGAAGAAGGGAAGAAAUGAUAGUGGCCUGAACCAGGGUAAGUCUUGUGUAGGUGGUUGAGAAGUGAUUCCUCUGGAAGGUAAAGUUACUGAUGGAACUGAAGGGAGGACAUGAAAGAGUCAAGGAUGACUCCAAGACUUUCGACCUGAGUGAUUCAAAGGAUGGAGUUACCAUCAGGUGAAAUGCGGGAAAGUUCAGAUGGAACAAAUCUGAGAGCAUUAUUCACAAUAGCCAAGAUUUUGGAACAACCUAAAUGUCCGUCGAUGGAUGAAUUGACAAACAAAAUGUGUUAUAUACAUUCAAUGGAAUAUUAUUCAGCCUUAAAAAGAAGGAGACCCUGCCCUUUGGGACAACAUGGAUUGACCUGGAGCACAUUAUGCUGAGUAAAAUAAGCCAGAUACAGAAAGACAAAUAUUGUAUGAUUUUACUUCUGUAUGGACUCAAAAAAGUCAAAUUCAUAGAAGCAGCAAGUAGACUGGUGGUUGAGUAGUAGAGGUUGAGGGGAGAGAAAAAUGGGGAUAUUUUGAGCAAGGAUAUGGAUUCUCCAUUAUGAGAUGAAUAAGUUCCAAAGAUCUAAUUAUAGCAUGAUGACUAUAAGUAAAAAUGCUGUACUGUAAACUUGUAAUUGACUAAGAAGGUAGAAGCAUUCUUAAUGUAGGGGGAUAAAAAAGUAGCUGUGUGAGG